Molecule: ribosomal RNA, 501 nt
Filed under: uncultured bacterium
Lineage: Bacteria
Description: partial 16S ribosomal RNA
Rfam family: Bacterial small subunit ribosomal RNA
Source: RNAcentral
AUUGAACGCUGGCGGCAGGCUUAACACAUGCAAGUCGAGCGGAGCGAGGGUGCUUGCACCUUAGCUUAGCGGCGGACGGGUGAGUAAUGCUUAGGAAUCUGCCUAUUAGUGGGGGACAACAUUCCGAAAGGAAUGCUAAUACCGCAUACGCCCUACGGGGGAAAGCAGGGGAUCUUCGGACCUUGCGCUAAUAGAUGAGCCUAAGUCGGAUUAGCUAGUUGGUGGGGUAAAGGCCUACCAAGGCGACGAUCUGUAGCGGGUCUGAGAGGAUGGUCCGCCACACUGGGACUGAGACACGGCCCAGACUCCUACGGGAGGCAGCAGUGGGGAAUAUUGGACAAUGGGCGGAAGCCUGAUCCAGCCAUGCCGCGUGUGUGAAGAAGGCCUUUUGGUUGUAAAGCACUUUAAGCGAGGAGGAGGCUCUUAAGGUUAAUACCCUUGAUGAGUGGACGUUACUCGCAGAAUAAGCACCGGCUAACUCUGUGCCAGCAGCCGCCGUAA